RNAcentral lists this ribosomal RNA (468 nucleotides) under uncultured bacterium. Its description in RNAcentral is "partial 16S ribosomal RNA". It matches the Rfam family "Bacterial small subunit ribosomal RNA", at positions 28 to 507 of the family's 1533-position model. The record is from RNAcentral.
GACGAACGCUGGCGGCGUGCUUAACACAUGCAAGUCGAACGGAAAGGCCCUGCUUUUGUGGGGUGCUCGAGUGGCGAACGGGUGAGUAACACGUGAGUAACCUGCCCUUGACUUUGGGAUAACUUCAGGAAACUGGGGCUAAUACCGGAUAGGAGCUCCUGCUGCAUGGUGGGGGUUGGAGAGUUUCGGCGGUUGGGGAUGGACUCGCGGCUUAUCAGCUUGUUGGUGGGGUAGUGGCUUACCAAGGCUUUGACGGGUAGCCGGCCUGAGAGGGUGACCGGCCACAUUGGGACUGCGAUACGGCCCAGCAUCCUACGGGAGGCAGCAGUGGGGAAUAUUGCACAAUGGGAGGAAGCCUGAUGCAGCAACGCCGCGUGCGGGAUGACGGCCUUCGGGUUGUAAACCGCUUUCGCCUGUGACGAAGCGUGAGUGACGGUAAUGGGUAAAGAAGCACCGGCUAACUACGUG